This 253-nucleotide ribosomal RNA is filed under the name uncultured bacterium. RNAcentral's name for it is "partial 16S ribosomal RNA". It matches the Rfam family "Bacterial small subunit ribosomal RNA", at positions 524 to 776 of the family's 1533-position model. The record is from RNAcentral.
UACAGAGGGUGCAAACGUUGCUCGGAAUCACUGGGCGUAAAGGGCGUGUAGGCGGGAAGGUAAGUCGGGCGUGAAAUCCCUGAGCUCAACUCAGGAACUGCACUCGAAACUACUUUUCUUGAGUGCCGGAGAGGAAAGCGGAAUACCUGGUGUAGAGGUGAAAUUCGUAGAUAUCAGGUGGAACACCAGUGGCGAAGGCGGCUUUCUGGACGGUAACUGACGCUGAGACGCGAAAGCGUGGGGAGCAAACAGG